CUUAGGACUACGGCCAGAUCAAAGGGUAGAGGAGCUUGCCUGUGUUCCCCUUUAGGGCUUUCUUAGCGAACUGCUUGAGCUGAGUCCUUGACCUUUGCAAGGAGAAAGGCACUGAUUUCUCUGGCCUAAGUGGUGAAGGCUUAGAAAAGGCAGCUGGGCUAGCACAAGCCCGGCCUGGGAAGCUGUAGGUCAGCAUUUUCUUACUGCCUUUUCUCUGAAGAGCAAGCCUCCACCCCUCUUCCAUGCCUUUGAUCUACUGUUGGAGAAAUAAGAUGCGAAGCCUGUAUUUUUUAAAUUAGCUGUUUUUAUUAUUUAAGAUUUCAUAUUGUUCAUGAGUAGUUGCUGUGUGCAAAGUCUCACUUCCUGCACUGAAGUGCUGUGCAGCCCAGCUACUCUGUUGUGAGCUUUCCAGUGACACACGCUCACCCGCUGGGUUUCACUGUGGAAAUCCACACGCACCUCCAGAAGAACAAACCAGUGAACCGUUGCCACCCUGAAUAGAGGCGAUGAUGUAAAGGGGACUGAUGAAAUGUCGCUCCUCCUGUCGUCUGUCGUCACAGCUGUCUGUGGGGUGCUUGUUAAUAGAUGAUCAUUGUAGAUGCUCUCUGCACAUUCACUUACUCAUGUGCGUUUGUGAUAGUAAUUCCCAUGGGUGUGUCACACACCGUGGAAAAAUCACUCAUGUCACUGAAGGGCCUGAACUUAACGGUGUAUCCCUAGAUUAUCUGGAAGAGAAAAUAUUUCUAAUAGCACAGAGUCAUGGCAUCUUUGAGAAUGCCUUUUCUCCACUUUUUGACAUUGGAGAUGAGUCAUAAUGACUUGAAUUGCAUAGAGAUUUAUUAAAUUAAUUUCAUUUUUAUUAUACUUUGUAGUUACCCAGAGAGAAAAAGAGAAAACACAAUGAAACAUUAGAUUGUAUUAGAAAAGGCCCAAGUCAUUAGCAUUAAAUCAAGCCAAAUGAAGUACAAUGUUUCUUAAAACACCAAGCCUCCCGCUGGAAGCCCCCAGCAUUUUGCUGAGGGCCCAGCAAUGUGUCGGUCAUCAGACUGGCAAGGUGACUGGUCAGGCCACUGCUGCAGGGCCGUGGCCACCCUGUAGCCCACCCACACCUGCGCUCCCUGGCAAGCAGCUCUGGCUGUUCAUGAGAUCAUUGCUGUGUUUUGACCUGGGCCUCAGAGCGGCACUGGAAAGGCCGGGGAAAUCACCUCUUAAAAUAGCCACAACAGAAGGAAGAAUGCACAAGUACUGGAUUUAUUUACAACAAAAAGUUAGAACAUACACAGUGAUGUAUUGACGCCCCAUCCCAAACCUCAGAUUUCCUCUGCGUUCAUCUUCAGUUUCUCCCCUUCCGGUCAGGUGUUCUCAUUUACUUUACUUUUUAGUUGAGUUUAAUCACUCUAUGGUAUGCGAUUUCUACUUGAGAACUUUUGUGAGUGGAUGAACCAGUGAAGCAUAAGUCAGAAAGAAAGGGGGAAACCAAGUUGCCAAGGCCAGAGAAGCGAGGGUGGAGCGAUGAUGGCACAGCCAGUGUCCCCUGACCUGUGACGAGUCAGAGGUGAUGGCGCACCCGCCUCUUCCCCACAGGAGGCUGGGUGUGGCGGAGAGCAGGUUGUGUUUAGGGAAGGGACUCAGAGCAGGCUGCCCGCGCCUGAUUCCCCUGAGUGCAGGGACACGGCCCUGCCUGAAAUGUGUAAAAACUCUUCUCCAUGUGACCCGUUGAGCAGGUGUGGUCUACACAGAAGGUCCUUCCAACCGUGUGGUUUUUUGAAAGGGGAAAUUCAGUGUUACCUUUGGGACCACUUUGGGGUUGGUGGUGUUUGGCCAGGAGGAUUCUGCACUGUCCAUCCUCAGGAAAUGCUGAUUGAAAGCCUUCUGAUGCCCGGAGGUGCUGGCUGUGUGGGAGCUGCACUGGGCCAGGCCAUCCCUCUGCUGCUGCAGGCCCCGCCCACCCUCUUGAGCGGCAGCCCAGCCCAGCCGUGUUCUCCACUGUUUCAUCCUCAGAGCCCUUCCGGUUGCCCCAGGAAGGGUUUAUCGUAAAAUCUUACUGUGGCCCAGAAAACCUCUGUGACUGGCCACCGGUCACCUUCCCACCUUCGCCCCACUCCCCGUGCUAAAGUGGACCAGCUUGUUGUUCCUUGAGAGGCUCCAUGCUGCUGCACAGAUGUCUUUUUCUCCUGCUUCUCUUCCUGGCCAGCUCCAGGCACUCCUCCAGCCAUGUUUGUGGACCACCUAGACCCAGCAGCAGGGUAGGAGGCCUUUAGAAGUUCCAAGGGAAGAUGAGGCCACAUGGACAUGAUUCUGGCAUCCUAAACUUGAGACCCUGUGGCAGCCAUGCAGGGCCACCUGCCCCGUGGGACCUUCACUUACAGGGGUGAGGCCUCUCUGGGAAGCAGGGACCCUCUGUACUAUGGCCCCCGAGGUAUAUGAGGGUUGCAGAGGAGAUGUCCAUGGGAGACUUGUGGCCCCGCACAGUUGCUGUGGCCUGGGAGAAGAGCUGGGAGGGACACGUGGGAGUGUGAGGGUGAGGUCGGAUCUGGGUAUCUGAACAGGAGAGCUGGUGGGGUUGGCUGACGCCAGGGUGUGGGCGUGUGAGAAACAGGUGGGCAGGCGGCACCAGUGCUGCUGUGAAACAGGGAAGCCUGGGCAGGGGCUGUAGGCAGCAGAAGCAUGAGCUGCUGCCUG
Symphalangus syndactylus (siamang) is the source of this 2682-nucleotide long non-coding RNA. RefSeq lists it as uncharacterized. The record is from RefSeq and is a predicted model, not a curated record. NCBI's taxonomy places the organism in Eukaryota, Metazoa, Chordata, Mammalia, Primates, Hylobatidae.